RNAcentral lists this ribosomal RNA (270 nucleotides) under uncultured archaeon. RNAcentral describes it as "partial 16S ribosomal RNA". It matches the Rfam family "Archaeal small subunit ribosomal RNA", at positions 477 to 747 of the family's 1478-position model. The record is from RNAcentral.
CAGCACCUCAAGUGGUCAGGAUGAUUAUUGGGCCUAAAGCAUCCGUAGCCGGCUCUGUAAGUUUUCGGUUAAAUCUGUACGCUCAACAUACAGGCUGCCGGGAAUACUGCAGAGCUAGGGAGUGGGAGAGGUAGACGGUACUCGGUAGGAAGGGGUAAAAUCCUUUGAUCUAUUGAUGACCACCUGUGGCGAAGGCGGUCUACCAGAACACGUCCGACGGUGAGGAACGAAAGCGUGGGGAGCGAACAGGAUUAGAUACCCUGGUAGUCC